Felis catus (domestic cat) is the source of this 4558-nucleotide long non-coding RNA. RefSeq lists it as uncharacterized. The transcript has 3 exons. NCBI's taxonomy places the organism in Eukaryota, Metazoa, Chordata, Mammalia, Carnivora, Felidae. The record is from RefSeq and is a predicted model, not a curated record.
GUUAGCAUCAAAAGAGGAUAGCUUAUAGUCAUAAUUGCUCCCUGGGAGAAGGGUUGCCACGGACACUGGAGAACAUUCACGGUUAAUUUUAUAGAACCAUGGCUAAUGGGACAAAUCACUCAGCCAUGGAGACUCCUCAAGCUCAAAAAGCAUAGAGAUGCAAAGAGGGAAGCAGGUCAUGGGCUCUGCCCUGGGCUUCUGAGGGGGUCUUUGGCAAGGGGAAAGCAGGCAGAUGUGACUCACCAGGUCAACUGUGGGUGGCAUUGGACUCAGCUGUCACAGCUGGGCUGACAUCAGCAGCAGGGGAUUGACAUCAGUGCAAAGACAGCAUCAGCGAGCCAGGAGUGUGUGGUCUAACUAGGCCCAGCUGACUUGGUGCUCGUCUAAGGAGGUGCUGUGAUGUGUCCUAGAUCACAUGGAAUAUUAGAGGUGAGGGUGAGCGGUAAGACUCCCAGGCCGGUGCUCUCUCCAUACACCAUACAGAAAGGGAGACAAGAGCAGAUUUUUACAAAAAGUUGUGAAAUCAAGUUAGGAACAACCUGACCCUUGAACAGCCUGCUUCUCAAAGCACAAAAGGUCUUUUGGGUGUUUAGUGACUGCAGUGAUUUGACAUAGCAGCUUUUCAUUACUUCCUGGAGGUGAUUCUUACAGAUUAAGCCAGAAAAAGAUUGCCGUAGUGCAGUCAUCAUGCAUGUGCUGAUCUUUAUUGAUGUUAAGAAGCAAGAAAGAGAUUUAAGUGGGAACCCUUCCUGUGCAGGCAAUACUCUGCCUUACAAACAGGAAACCGUAGUGCAUAAUUAAAACUAUAAUAGUCUUUAAAAGAUAAUAAGCAGCUUGAAUUCCCUAAACACUUCACUUUUUCAAAAUCCUUUGAUGAAUUCUAUCUCACUUGAUCUUCAUAGCUACUUCUGCAUAACUUGGGAGGCAGUAGUAAUCACCCAUUUUGUAGAUGAAUCCGAAACCAGAGAGGUUUGGUGAUUUGCCCAGGAUCACACAGCAGGUACUGUCCGAACUGAGACGAGCAUUUUGCUUCUUUAUCUGGUGUUUUUGUGUAGUAAAGUUCACAAUCCCUUAUCUGAAAUUCUGAAACCCAAACAAAAACAACAAGUCUAUUUUUUUCUUUCCUAACUCAUUUGAUGGCAAAAUUUUUACCUAUCUUGAUCUAGGUUUGGCAAUAAAACCUGUUUCGAGAUGAUGUGAAGCUCUUUUUGUCCUCUUUAGGGAGAAUAUUCAUAUGUUUUUUACCAAAAUUUUAAUGUGUUCAGUUGCAGGAUGCUGCCCCAAAUCAGUGUGUUAUAUUUAUUGUAUUAGUCAUAUUGUCUUUCUACAGUCUCUCCCCAAAAAAGUUCUGAUUUCAAAAGCAUAAUACCAGAGUUUUGGAUGAUAAUUGUAACUCUGAAGUAGACUGUCUUUGUCAUCUAACAGAGCGAGGCAAUAAGGUAUUUCCAUUAACCAGAGAUUCUGGUUAACAGUCACUAUAGAUGGCGUACAUGUAUUGCUAAUGUUGAACAAAUGAGACUAUAAUGAAACAGACUUAAUAUCAACUCAGCAGUUGUUGUGAGAGUGAAAUAAGAUAAUUCAGGUAAAUCAUUUAUCACAGCGUCUGGUUCAUAGGACACAUUUCAUAACGAGAGUGUUAGCUAUUACCUUUCUCAAUAAACUUUGUAUCCCCAUGUUACAGAUGACAGGCAGAGGUUAAGUAACCUGCCAAGGUCACAUGGCCAGUAAGUGGCACCGCCGGGGACGAGACACCCAGGCUGACUGUUCCACCCAAAGCAUAUGCACGACCAGUGGGGUGGAAAUAAUUCUAGGAUCUUCCAGGGGGCUCUAGAAGUCCUUCCAGAUCAUCAUUAUGAAAAUUAAUUACUGAAUCAUUGGACUGCAGCAUGUGGAAGUGUUGUUUAAUAGCCUGCUGGUUAAGAGGUUUUGCUGGCUACAGAUAGAAGGAGUAGAAGAGGGAGAGGGAAGGAGAGAGAGGCAGAGAGAGGGAGAGAGAAUAAACUAGAGAAUGUCUUAUAAAUUAAAAAGUUGGAAUGACUUUAUGGAACAAUUGGCAAACCUCUAUGUCAGAGAAUUAUUACAAGAAUAUUAACUCCUCUGGAUAGACUAGAUGAGGUCUUCCUGGGAAUUCUGGCAAAGAAAAGACACUCCUAGGACUUUCCCCAAAGUUCUGUGGACUAGGUCAGUGAAACCUAUGGUUUUUGGGUAGAAUAAUAACUGUGUGUGUGUGUGUGUGUGUGUGUGUGUGUGUGUGUGUAAUGAGAAUUCCCUCCCCUUCUACCCUCCUGACAGCUCCCCUGAUGACAGCUUUUUUGCCUUCUCAAUUUCCUGCUUUGAACCUAGGAAAUUUUCAUUUGCUUUGGUGGGGAAGGUGGUGGGCUGAGAGAGAAGGGGCAAGAAGAGGAGAGUGGAAUACAGAUCCUUGAGAGAGGAGAGGAGAAGAGGGAAGUGCUUGCUUCAAAAAUGGAUUCCAGUCCAGCCUCCGUCCUUCACGACUCCUGUCCCAGAUGGUGAGAGCAGAGCUCCCAUGCCUGUGCCUGUGGUCUGUCCGGGCAGCCUGGCAAGACAGUGAGCCCCUCGGUGGCUAAGCCCGAGAUUAAGAGGACCUCAGUGCCAUUGUGCUGGCAGCUGCUCAGGCUCACCCGUGUGCCGUGCGCCUCAGCGCAUGUCUGGUCUUCCUCGCUGUUUGGAGCAAGGCACUUGAAAGGCGCCCCCUCCCCCAGACUCCUUGACAUUUGUCCAGAGAUUAAUUGGGCUAAUCCCCUUCUUGGAAGAAUAGGUUGGAGAGUAUGUAUUCAGGGAGGGUGAGGAGGCAGGCCAGGAUUGAAGAGGCUAGCAUUAAUGAAGGCACUGGGGCUUGCUGGAGCCUUUGAAGGAAGAAAAGAGCAAAUUUCUCUGCUGUUCCUGGACAAGGCUGACAGGUGGGCAGGGAGACUGCGGUUCUUCUGUUCCGCCCGGCUUUGCCAGAAGGUCUGUGCGCACCAGCAGUAACAACUUUUGACAGCACCAGCUGUCACUCAGGGAGGGAGCGCUCCCGGCACACCUUGGCCUGCCAUUCUCGUUUCUUGUACUGAGGGCAGAGGGUGAGAGCCCCAAGAUAGGCCAUCCCGAGUGUGGAAGACAUGCAUUGCCUGGAUGCUUGUCUGGGAUGCUUACAAAAGUGUAUAUUUACAGAUUGUUUUGAAUCAAGCAUUCAAAAGGAACAUCAUUUAUUACUUGAGAUUUAUGGUCGAGGGGAGGCAGGGGGCCACGUACAGUGUUUUCUUGUGCUGUAUGCAGCUGUCCAUACUCGACAGGGGAUGCAAGUCUCUUCACCUUAUUGUCUAGUAAUAAUAGCUAGCGUUCCCUGGGAGCUGCGUGUGUGCCAAGGCACCGGUCUAAACAUUUUACAGGUAUUAAUUAAUUUCUUCUUCGUAACAGCCCAAAUGAAGUAGAUGCUAAUAUUGUCUCCAUUUUACAGAGUUAGUACCAUGCCCAGGAUCAUUUGUAAAUCGUGGCACCAAGGCUCAAAUUCCUAUAGUCUGCACUGGCUGCAUUGCUAACAGAGAAAAGGGACUAAGCAUUUUGCCUGGGCUAGUCUCGGUUUGGAACGUGACUUCAGUGAGAUUGAACAGUUAAUUGAGGAUAAUGCAUCCCGGGAGAACUGAGGAUAAAAAGCCAUGGAAAUGCUCUGAGGUCCCUGGGAACCCUCUGAAAGAUAUGUGCCUAAUUGUACUAUCGGUAGAAAAUUUCCUCCAGCUAACAGGAUUGCACGCAUGUGCUGUGUUUCAUUGUCAAUUGCUGUAGGCACCAGCUUUAACAAAUAUGAAAGGUCUGGUGGUUAAUCAAAUGAACUUAAGAGCGUUCUUUAAAUGGGAUUUAUAUUGAUGUCCAUCAUAAAAACUAUUAAUAAUGAGGAACUUAAAAAACGUCAUUGCGAACUGAAAGGGAAUCUGCAAAGGUAUGAAUAUCUGUUCAUCCUUUAUCAGAGGUGAGGUAACCAGGUCAGAGAAAUGACAGAUGCUAAUAAUGGCAGAACAACAAUGGGGAGGCAUAUCUUUGUGGUUUUGAGCACCGUGAGAGCUCUUUGAGUUCGGAGCAUCUAACGUAAAUCUGUUUGUUUCUUCUGUGUAACCACUGUCCACUCAGCAGGUCGCACGCACACAGCCUCUUUGGCCAGCGAUAUUCUUUCCUAUUUUGAGAAUCGGUUUCCUGGCACCAGAGACCAGUGCAGAUUCUCAAGUGGGGUUCAGGAAGAGAAGGGAAAGUAGAUGCAGAGUCAAAUCACCCCCCUCUUUGAACUUUAAAACCACCUAAGAAGGAGUACUGUCUUCAUUUUAUGAUGAGGAAACUAAAGAUCCAAGAAGUUGCUAACCCAAGACCACACAGUGGUUCAACCACAACACCCUCUCUCACCUCCUAACUGCUCUCAUCCCAUGUGGAUCUUCACUGCUUGUUUGAAGCUGAGAGCUCACUGCUGGUGGCUACUUAAGAUGGAAAAUGACGGGGGCGCCUGGGUGGCUCAGUCGGUUAAGCAGCCGACUUUGGCUCAGGUCACGAUCUCGUGGUCCGUGAGUUC